GGAAAGAGGGGAAAAGAAAAGAGAAAAGGGAAGAAAAAAACCCUAGCCGCCGCUCGCCGUCGCCGCCGCCGCCGCGUACCCGAGCCGCCCAAGCCCUCCUCCUUCUGUUCGUCAGCUCAGCCGGAUCGUUCGCAGCCGCCAGCCGUCGCGUGAAACCUCGUCCUGCCGCGUCGUCGAGCAACUCAGCCGAGUCGUUCGCAGCCGCCAGCCGUCGCGUGAAGCCGCGUCCUGCCGCAUCGCCGAGCAGCUCAGCUGGAUCGUGCGCAGCCGCCAGCCGUCGCGUGAAGUCGAGUCCUGCUGAGUCGCCGAGCAGCAGCAGUCGACGGUCGUCAGCGGCGCGCCUCCAGCCGUCGAAGCCGAACCCACGUUUCGGUCGUCGCCCGAACUCGAAGCCGAACCCACGUUUCGUCCGUCGCCCGAACUCGAAGCCGAACCCACAUUUCGGCCGACGCCCGAACCCUAAACCGACCCGCGCCCGCUCGCCCGAACCCGAAACCGCUCCACGCCCGCUCCGAGUCGUAAGUCGAGCCCGCGCGCGCCCAUCCCACGCAACGAGUCGCGCUUGUCUGUACCACGAGCCACGUCUGUCUAUGCCGCGAGCCGAGCCGAUCCCCAACCUUCAAGCCGAGCCAGUCCCUGCUCCUUCAGCCGAGCCACCAAGCUUAGUUGGCUCUUUCCACCCAAUUUUUUGGGGCGUCUUGGACCAAGUAACUGCUGCAGCGUGGGAUUUUUUCGGUAGGGGCUCAAGCAUUGCAACCUCUUUCUAGGUUAGGACCUCGUUGCUUGGAAAGCACACUUGUCUUGCGAUUAGGACUCGUCGAGUAAAUCUCCAGGUAGAGGCCGCGGUAAGGGCAAAGGAAAGCUAGCGAGCGACCAGAAGUGACCGUGGCGAGCCAUAGGGAUUUCUGCUUCUGCUUAUUCUUGCUUUUGACUAAUGACUUCGACUCAGUAUAAGGAGUUGGGUUUUUACAACGCGGCUCGCGGUUGGAGGCACGGCUCGACUGGGAGGCAGACGCAGACGCAGGUGCGGGUUCGGGUACAGCUCACGAUGCGGGUUGGAUAUGCGUAUGGCUCGAAAGUGGAGGGUGAAGCCAAAACGGCUCAGCUGUGUGCGGUUGGGUAGGCGACACGUCAACCAACAGAGAUGCUUGCUAACGACACCGAGCGACAACCGUGACGGCGAGUCAGCGAUCGACGACUUACGGCAGGGUGCUAACGGAGAUGCGGUAGCUAAGAGAACGAUGGAGGUGACGGGCUGCUUACGAAGGUGGGGCGACUGCGAACGGAUCGGCUACGAUGGGCGAGUCGAACGUCGGCGACGGUUAAGGAGAGAUUAAGGUUUCCUUUUUUUUUCCUUUGUGAAGAAAAUGAUGGCCCACUUCCCAAGGACCUAUUUAACCCCAAAAUAAUAAUAACGCAUUUAUUAUUAUUUUCCCUUUUUCUAUUCCUUAA
Cucumis melo (muskmelon) is the source of this 1452-nucleotide long non-coding RNA. RefSeq lists it as uncharacterized. The transcript is spliced from 5 exons. The record is from RefSeq and is a predicted model, not a curated record. NCBI's taxonomy places the organism in Eukaryota, Viridiplantae, Streptophyta, Magnoliopsida, Cucurbitales, Cucurbitaceae.